This 573-nucleotide long non-coding RNA is filed under the name Mytilus galloprovincialis (Mediterranean mussel). The record is from RNAcentral. Lineage: Eukaryota; Metazoa; Mollusca; Bivalvia; Mytilida; Mytilidae.
CGAAGGUCAAGUUCAAUAAUGGCGAUUUUGACUUUUACCGUUCAGGAGUUAUGGUUCUUGAAAGAUUGAAAAAUGGAGUUUCCAGUCGUGUUUGUGCAUUUACGCAUGAACUGUUCUACCAAAGCUUCCCAAAUUUUAAUAUGUUGUUACUAAUGACAGAAUGGAGGUCAAGUUCAAUAAUGACGAUUUUGACUUUUACCGUUCAGGACUUAUGGUUCUUGAAAGAUUGAAAAAUGGAGUUUCCAGUCGUGUCCGUGCAUUUAUGCAUGAACUGUUCUACCAAAGCUUCCGAAAUUUUAAUAUGCUGUUACUGAUGACAAAAUGGAAGUCAAGUUCAAUAAUGACGAUUUUGACUUUUACCGUUCAGGAGUUAUGGUUCUUGAAAGAUUGAAAAAUGGUGUUUCCCGUCGUGUCCGUGCAUUUUCUCAUGAACCAUUCAACCAAAGCUUUUGAAAUUUUAAUAUGUUGUUACUGAUGACAAAAUAGAGGUCAAGUUCAAUAAUGACGAUUUUGACUAUUACCGUUCAGGAGUUAUGGUUCUUGAAAGAUCGUAAAAUGGCGUUUUCAUUCACG